RNAcentral lists this microRNA precursor (121 nucleotides) under Myotis brandtii (Brandt's bat). Its description in RNAcentral is "mir-9193 microRNA precursor family". Lineage: Eukaryota; Metazoa; Chordata; Mammalia; Chiroptera; Vespertilionidae. The record is from Rfam by way of RNAcentral.
CGUGCACCAGUGGGGUCCCUCAGCCCGGCCUGUGGGACCAAAACCGGCUCUCCAACAUCCACCGAGGGGUCCCGGAUUAUGAGAGGGCAUAGGCCAGGCCGAGGGACCCCACUGGUGCAUG